This 502-nucleotide ribosomal RNA is filed under the name uncultured Glomeromycotina. Its description in RNAcentral is "partial small subunit ribosomal RNA". It matches the Rfam family "Eukaryotic small subunit ribosomal RNA", at positions 591 to 1092 of the family's 1831-position model. Lineage: Eukaryota; Fungi; Glomeromycota. The record is from RNAcentral.
CAAAUAGCGUAUAUUAAAGUUGUUGCCGUUAAAAAGCUCGUAGUUGAAUUUCGGAAUUUUUUUAUCGGUUGAAUCAACAGGUUCGUACUGAUUUUAAGAAUUUCUACCUUCUGGAGAACCUUAAUGUCAUUUAUUUGAUGUUUUGGGAAACCAGGACUGUUACCUUGAAAAAAUUAGAGUGUUUAAAGCAGGCUUAUGUCUGAAUAUAUUAGCAUGGAAUAAUGAAAUAGGACGGCAUGGUUCUAUUUUGUUGGUUUCUAGGAUCACCGUAAUGAUUAAUAGGGAUAGUUGGGGGCAUUAGUAUUCAAUUGUCAGAGGUGAAAUUCUUGGAUUUAUUGAAGACUAACUUCUGCGAAAGCAUUUGCCAAGGAUGUUUUCAUUAAUCAAGAACGAAAGUUAGGGGAUCGAAGACGAUCAGAUACCGUCGUAGUCUUAACCAUAAACUAUGCCGACUAGGAAUCGGACGAAGUUAAUUUUUUAAUGACUCGUUCGGCGCCUUACG